GAUAAACUUAAAAUGUUUUAUAGUCAGUAUUAGAUACAAAACCAAACCAAAUAGUGAUACUGCAAUUAAGUUAUUAAUUCGAUACUCAUGUAAUAAAUUCAGUAAUAUACUCCCUAACACUGGAUCUUCUUUCUCGAGUUUCUUUAUUCCAGGCGUCUGUCUCUCCUCACUCCAGACAAAAGCAGCACGUGGAAUCUUCAUAUCAGUCAUGUGACCUCUUCAUGGCCGAUGCUGUCGUCACUGAUAAUUGCCCCCUCCAGAUUGUCAACUUGCAUGAAUUAGCAACUGGGCAAGACGAGCACGGCUCUGUGGCAGCUGGGAUAAUUUGCACAGAGUGACAAAACAAAAGGCAUGGAGAGGUUACUUACAGGAGGAACAUGCCUGUAUCAAACCCUGUUCAUGACAUCAUCCUCUAGGAAGUAGCAUCGUUUUGGAGGGAAAACAACAGCAGAAACAAUAGUCAAAAUAUCGUAGCAAUAACGAUUUUUCAGUUGGUGAGUUGAAGGAGC
Cyprinus carpio carpio is the source of this 509-nucleotide long non-coding RNA. The record is from Ensembl. NCBI's taxonomy places the organism in Eukaryota, Metazoa, Chordata, Actinopteri, Cypriniformes, Cyprinidae.